RNAcentral lists this ribosomal RNA (502 nucleotides) under uncultured bacterium. RNAcentral describes it as "partial 16S ribosomal RNA". It matches the Rfam family "Bacterial small subunit ribosomal RNA", at positions 30 to 523 of the family's 1533-position model. The record is from RNAcentral.
AUUGAACGCUGGCGGAAUGCUUUACACAUGCAAGUCGAACGGCAGCACGGGUGCUUGCACCUGGUGGCGAGUGGCGAACGGGUGAGUAACAUAUCGGAACGUACCCAGUAAUGGGGGAUAACUAACCGAAAGGUUAGCUAAUACCGCAUACGCCCUGAGGGGGAAAGCGGGGGAUCGAAAGACCUCGCGUUAUUGGAGCGGCCGAUAUCUGAUUAGCUAGUUGGUGAGGUAAAGGCUCACCAAGGCGACGAUCAGUAGCAGGUCUGAGAGGAUGAUCUGCCACACUGGAACUGAGACACGGUCCAGACUCCUACGGGAGGCAGCAGUGGGGAAUUUUGGACAAUGGGGGAAACCCUGAUCCAGCCAUUCCGCGUGAGUGAAGAAGGCCUUCGGGUUGUAAAGCUCUUUCGGCAGGGAAGAAACGGUUCUGGAUAAUACCCGGAGCUAAUGACGGUACCUGAAGAAGAAGCACCGGCUAACUACGUGCCAGCCGCCGCGGUAA